RNAcentral lists this ribosomal RNA (510 nucleotides) under uncultured bacterium. RNAcentral describes it as "partial 16S ribosomal RNA". It matches the Rfam family "Bacterial small subunit ribosomal RNA", at positions 28 to 507 of the family's 1533-position model. The record is from RNAcentral.
GACGAACGCUGGCGGCGUGCUUAACACAUGCAAGUCGAACGAAGAGCGAUGGAAGCUUGCUUCUAUCAAUCUUAGUGGCGAACGGGUGAGUAACGCGUAAUCAACCUGCCCUUCAGAGGGGGACAACAGCUGGAAACGACUGCUAAUACCGCAUACGAUCUAAUCUCGGCAUCGAGGAUAGAUGAAAGGUGGCCUCUACAUGUAAGCUAUCACUGAAGGAGGGGAUUGCGUCUGAUUAGCUAGUUGGAGGGGUAACGGCCCACCAAGGCGAUGAUCAGUAGCCGGUCUGAGAGGAUGAACGGCCACAUUGGGACUGAGACACGGCCCAGACUCCUACGGGAGGCAGCAGUGGGGAAUCUUCCGCAAUGGACGAAAGUCUGACGAAGCAACGCCGCGUGAGUGAUGACGGCCUUCGGGUUGUAAAGCUCUGUUAAUCGGGACGAAAGGCCUUCUUGCGAAUAGUGAGAAGGAUUGACGGUACCGGAAUAGAAAGCCACGGCUAACUACGUG